Parus major (Great Tit) is the source of this 2503-nucleotide long non-coding RNA. RefSeq lists it as uncharacterized. The transcript is spliced from 2 exons. NCBI's taxonomy places the organism in Eukaryota, Metazoa, Chordata, Aves, Passeriformes, Paridae. The record is from RefSeq and is a predicted model, not a curated record.
AAUGUUAUGUAUCUUUACAUUCUACCUUGGCGGUCUGUAGCUUCCUGCCUUUUUUAUCUUGGAAGUUACGGUACUUAUGUAAGCGUGCGUCAGUUCCUCUUUAAAAAAAAAAAAAAAAUCAAUAAAAGGUAGCGGUUGUGACUGAUGAAAUCGGUCACCGCUGUGUGGAUUAAGAAGAGAUGUGAACUCUGCGAGGGUGCGCUCGCUGCCUCCCGGCGCUUGCUGGGGGUGAAGCGCCUCUCACCCCGGGGGAGGGAGGAAGGACGGGGCGGGUUCGGGGCCUCCCCCGGCCAAUCCGGCUGGAGCGCGCGGCCUUCAAACCUCGGGGGCACCGGGACAUCUCCCUGCGGGCCCGGCUGCCCUGGGAUCCGGCUAGAAGAGGGAUUCCAGUGCCUUGCGAGCAGCGCUUGCUGCGGUUUUCUGCUUUCUGAGGUUCUCUUUUUUUUUUUUUUCCUCUUUUGCAACUUCGAGCUUCCUGGCAAUAAUAAGAAAAGCGUAAGUACUUCCCUGGGGGGCAGAUCCGGAGGGUUGCAAAAGGCAGCGUCGGGUACUCUGAAUGAAGUGAUGGUGACUGCAGUUUGCAGAAUUGGCUCGUGUGACAAGAACUCACACUCAUGGAGAAGAACUACGGAAAGUCACAUGUACCCGGGGAAGGGAGUCAUCGUGUGCUAGUCUGGACUGGAAAUGAUGUUUUAAUUCCUUCAUCCUGACAGCAUGAGUAAUGUUUAAAAGCGCUCCUGUUGUUUUUCUGCAAAAGUUUCCUUUGUUUAUCCAGUAUAGUCUCCUAGGUACUGCUGCCUUUGGCUUCGCUGAGCUACUCGGUAACACUUUCUUGGACUUGGUAGCCUUAGCUGUCUUUUUUGGGGCCCUUGGUCACUACGGCUGCCUGGGCCCGCUUGACUGCGGGAGCCCCUUGCACCCCGAGAACCGGGACACGGCCUUGGUGACGGGAAAGCUGCGGUGUUUAAAGCUGCCAGCCACUGCAUCCCUCUCCUUGGGGUGCCAGGGGCUUAGAAACCACGACAAUACUCCAGGGAUCGGGAUUUACAGGGAGGAGCUUCUCCGCCAUUGGUGCCUCGGGCUGGCCGCACUGCUGGGAGACGGCGACAGCUCCCCUCCCUUUCCUCUGAACAGCGUUCUGCCUCAGGAGGCGGAGGAGUGAGUCACUGGGGCGUUCUGUUCAUGGAAAAUGUUUUUCAAGCAGAGGAAGAUAACGUGGGAGUGCCCGGCUGAAGUCUUGCUUGGAAACAAGAUGAGAAUCUCGCCUGUUUCUAAGCGGUAUAUGAUUCUUAAACAGUUUUCAAUUUGAAUUGUUUUCCAUUGCAUGUGUUUGGUUGUGUUUUUUUCUUCUUUUUUCUUUUUUUUUUUUUGUUGUGUUUUUUAACUUGUUUGUUAUUUUGGCUUCUCGUUUCACUCCCAAAACAGGAAGAGGACUUUUUGUUUUUUUCUCCCCCUCCUUUUUUUAAUCAUCUCUGUCCUGCUGAAAGAAGUUGCACUAGGUAUUAAUCAUCUACCAUUCAAAGCUGGACUUUGAAACAGCAGGAACUGCAGGGCUUUAUUAGUAACUAUUCUGAAAUUUGAGGCUAGAAUUAGGUUUAAAACAUUUCAGGAUUUUUUUUGUUUUCUUUCAUAAUCUCAAUUUUGCUGUAUUUUGCAUAUUUGGUAAAAUAAUCUUCUAUUGGUGUAUAUUUAGUAGGGAAGGAAGAGAUUGUGUGGGCCUGGAGAAGGGAAUUGGUUUGUACAAGGUUCUGAUUGGGCCAUUUGAAAAUCCUGAAACAGAGGCCUCCCGGGUUUCAUUUUUGCCCUUGAAAACACGGUGCGAGGAGGGAGCAUUUCUUUUCAAGAGUAAUGCUCAUAUUUCCUUCUCAGGCACUUUAGUAUUUAUGUUCUGCUUCUCUUGGAAAUUGCUUAUUUUGGUUUUGUUGGUUUUUCCCCUUAUUUCUACCCCCUCUCCCCAUGUUCUAGAAAUCAUUUGAAAACACAUCUAUUUUAACAGUUUUCAAAUAAGAUACGGGUAGAUUGCAAUCUAGUGUAAAGUGUUUGUUGAUUUUCUAUUAUGUUCAUCACUAAAAACUCGUUAAGCUCAUUAGUGUAAUUUAUUAAACUCACAAUUUCAUUCUCUGCCUUUCUAGCCAUGUUUCCUCCUUGAGACCUCUCAAGCUUCCUUAUACAGAGAUUUGUAAAUAUUGUUGCAUUCUCCAUGCCAACAACAGGAUUCUCAUGAUGGGUUUUAAGUGUAUUUUUGUUAGUACAGGAGAACUGAUGAGUUCUGAAUGCUAAAUCCUCUUUUUCUUCAGCUUUCUUCAGUUAUGCCUGGAAUGGUUUUUGUACAAUUAAUAAAUUAAUAUAAUCAAUACUGCAUAUCUUUGUUUCUCUUGAUCACUCAUUCACAAUUAAUGUAGAAAGGCUGUAUGUUCUUCUACCUCAGGUAACUGCUUGCUAUAAAUGAACACCUUCUCUGUCUGUAUACCUCAGUUAAAUAAAAGAUUUUUAUAUAUUGAAA